Molecule: long non-coding RNA, 914 nt
Filed under: Lucilia cuprina (Australian sheep blowfly)
Lineage: Eukaryota; Metazoa; Arthropoda; Insecta; Diptera; Calliphoridae
Description: uncharacterized LOC124419135, transcript variant X2
Source: RNAcentral
AUUUUCUAUUAUUUUUCUACGGAAUUACAAGAAAAUUCUUUGGGAUCUAAUAAAUAAAAUAAUAAUGCACACAACACAACCAAAUAAUUGAAUGGCAUCGAAUAUAAAAAUUAAAGAGUUUACAUAAAUUAAAGAUUUUCUUUGAUCGUAUUACUGCGUACGUGAUGGAAUAGGCUUUUGUAACAAAAUCACAUUUCAAUAACGAAAUUUAUCUAAGUUGUGUGUGAUGUACUUUGCAUAAAAUCAAAAUUCGCGAAGUUGUCAUGUGGUUGUUGUUUUUUAUAAUAACAAUAACUUCACACCUUAAAUAUACCAGUUUUCUUUUAACGAUUUGAUUUGAUUGAGGAAUACAAAUAAGCGGUAAAAUUAACAUUUCGUCAUCAGUUUUACUCCAUCACGAUUGUGGUAAUUCGCUAAAUGAUUUGUAAUGCGAAAGAAAUUAGAUUGUUUAAAAUUGUAAUUGUGUUAUUGUUUAAAAUAAUAAUUUUUAAGAGAGAGAGAUAAUUUUAACUUCAUUUUGCAAAAGAAAAAGUUCUAUUUAAAAGUAUAAAAAAUAGUGAAAGAAGAAUUUUAUCAGUGAGACAAAAAUCUUUGAUUUAUGUAAACUCCUUUGUUUUUAUAAACAUACUAUUUUGGAGAAUGGAAUUAUAGCUAAAAACUUAAACCUCAAAUUAGACCUUCAAGGAUUUAGCAUCCAUAAUUAUGUAAAUUACAAAGCUAUUAACUCAAAACCUGUAAGGAUUUGUCUUUAGAAGUAUGGAGUUCAUAAAGGUAUGUACUUAUCGAUUUCAGGAAAUUGGAUGGAUGACAUUCAGAUUUUUUUGAAGCUGAACUGUUAUUUUUCAUUAUUUUCCAUUUUAUUUAUAGUUUAAUAUUAUUUUAGAAAAAUAAAAUAAAAAAUUAAAAACAAAUUA